Molecule: long non-coding RNA, 804 nt
Organism: Homarus americanus (American lobster)
Lineage: Eukaryota; Metazoa; Arthropoda; Malacostraca; Decapoda; Nephropidae
Exons: 4
Source: RefSeq, a predicted model, not a curated record
GCAUCCUUGGAGUCGGCCAUCAAGAUCACUAAUGAGCCGCCCAGGGCAUGCAGGCCAACCUCCACAAGGCCCUAUAACUUCACGCAGGAGACCUCGAGAUGUGCUCUAAGGAAGCCGAGUUUAAGUCCAUCCUUCUCCUGUGUUACUUCCACGCCUGCGUUGCCGAGCGGAGAAAGUUUGCGCCCAAGGCUGGAACCGACCAUACCCCUUCAACACAGGUGACCUAACCAUCAGCGUUAAUGUGCUGUGCAAUUACCUGGAGGCCAAUAGCAAGGUGCCAUGGGAGGAUCUCCGCUACCUGUUCGGGGAGAUCAUGUAUGGCGGCCACAUCACUGACGACUGGGACCGUGUUCUCUGUCGAACCUACCUGGAGGAGUUCCUGCACCUGACCAGCUUGACGGGGAGUUGAACCUCGCCCAGGCCCCACACCACCGAACUUGGACUACUCUGGCUAUCACAGCUACAUUGACACCUGCUUGCCCGCUGAAUCUCCACAUCUGUAUGGCCUUCAUCCCAAUGCAGAAAUUGCUUUCUGACCAUGACAUCGAGCACCUGUUUAAGACGGUGUUUGAGCUGCAACCAAGGGAUAUGGGGAACUCUGAGGCGUGGUCAUCACAAGAGAAGACAAGGUGAAACAAACACUGGAUGAAAUCAUAGAGAAGCUACCGGAGGAGUUCAACAUGGUGGACAUCACGGGAAAGGUGGAAGAGCGCACCGUAUGUGGUGGUUGCUUCCAGGAGUGUGAGAGGAUGAACCUACUUACACGCAACAUCCGCUCCACUCUGAAGGAGCUCGACCUGGGCU